UCUUAGAGGCACCGCUGAGUCAAGAAGAAGCAAGUCCUGACCAAGACCCAAAGGAGACACCCCUCUCAAGGGGUAAAAAGGACAGGAUGAAGGCUUUAAUCCUGACUGGGCUCAUCCUGGUCUUUGCCAUUUGUUUCCCGUUCAGUGAGAGUCAGCAAUCACAGCGCCGGGCAAGAGGGAAGACAAUCAAUAGUCGAUCAGUGCGAAGUUCCCCUGCCAGGACAUCACAAAACAGAUCUCCAUACACCCAAGUCAAUAGGAAACCUCAAAUCCGUUCUCGUGCCUCUGUCUCAUCUGUGCUGCCUAACAAAGCAGCCAGCCAAUUAUCUUUAAAUUCUAGGAUAUCAAGUAGAAAGAAAAAAACUGUCCUGACAGCAAAAAGGCAAAGUCUACAAGUCAGGCCUAAGAAAAGUACAUUAACUUCUGCCAAUAAAAGGCUGACCCCCCUUUCGUCUGGUUUAACAGGACGAAAUAUUCCACGGAGCACAAGUAAAACUCGAAAACAGCCUAAGAAAAAUCAGAAGACAACUGCCAAGAAACAGUUAAAAAGGACUGCAGUAGCACCAAAGCCAUCUUUAGCUAUAAAGAAAAGUCAAAAUGCACCUAAAAGACCCCCGUCCACCUCUGCCAAGAAGCAGCUGAAUUUCCCAAAAGUAGCUAAGGUGGCAUCAAAAGGAACUUCAGCUUCAAAGAAAAGUUCACAGAAAUCAAAGAAAAUCCAGUCUCCACCUGCUAAGAAGAAACAGUUAAAACGACGCAAAACUAAAUCAGCUCCAAAAACAGAUCUAACUAAGAAGAAAUCUCAAAAUAUUUAUAAACUAACCAUGUCUGUAUCCAAAACACAAUCUAAGUCCACGACAAUAAAACGUUCCCUCAAAACUUCCUCAGCUCCAAAGAAAAGACCAACUAAAUCUCGCAAGACUCCAUCAUCAUCUGCCAAGAAAAAACAGAGUAGGCAAAAAGCAGUUAAAGCAGUCCCCAAAAACAAUGUAGCCAGAAAGAAAACUCUAGGGAAACAAAAAAAUAAACAGUUAAUGUCAGUCAAAAAAGGGCCAGCUAAGGCAACAGCAACAAGAGCAGUUUUAAAAGUCAAAAAGAAAAAUCUAACCGCAUCUAAAAAGACAGCAUCUACACCUGCCAAGAAAAAGCUCAAUCAGCCAAGAAAAGUUGCAACAAAAAGGAAAAUAUCUAAAGCCAAAAAUAAAGUGUCAACAAAACCCAAAAACUUUAGUGCACCUGCCAAGAAACAAGUGAAUCAACCUAAAGUACUUAAAUCAGUAUUAAAGACACAACCAACCUCAAAAAAAAUACCAAAGAAAUUGAAAAGCUCCUUGUCCAAAACUGCCAGGAAGGGGUCAAAUCAAUCAAAAGAAAGCAAAUCUCCAGCUCUCAGAAAAACUCCAGCCAAAAAGAAAAAUCUAAAAAAAUCUAAACCAGAUGCUAAAAAACUGUUCAAUGGGUCUAAAUCUGCUCAAGCUGCACCAAAAAGAUCUUUAGCCAAGAAGAAAAUUCAAAAGAAAUCUCCACAGAAAGGGCCCACAGCAGGUAAAAAAACUAUGAAAAUAGUUCCUGCAAAGAGUAAAGGUAUAAAACCAACUAAAAAAAGGCAGCCUCCCCCUCUAACAGCAAAGAAAAGGCUAAGUAAAUCCAAAAAGAGAGGAUCUAAACCUCUUAAGAAAGGUGUAAAUCAACUUAAACCCCUCAAAGGAAAAAAAAGACCAUCUUCAACAGCAGGCAAAACUGUAAAACCAAAAAAAGGGAAAUCUAUACUUGUCAAAAAGAAGUUGAAAUCAUCUAAACACAAAGGAUCUAAAUCUGUUCAAAAUCCACAGAAAAAGUGCCUACGUAACAAAGUAAAAAAACCAUUUCCAUUAAAUGUACCAUCUAAAGUUCAUCCCUGUCUACAACCAAAUCGACCACAUAAGUGUCCACUGACAGCUCAUCAAAUCUAUCCACCUCCACCAAGACCAUGGCCAGGUGUCCAACACCCCCAUAUACACCAGCAGCAGCAUCACCGACCUCAUUUGCCUCAUAAGCCACCCUGUCAUAAACCAAAACCUCCAAAAAGGCCAACAGGAACAGAAGACAGUACAACUGGUAGCCUGACCAAUGCAAUCACCACGACACCUGGAGCAGUCACUAAUUUAGCUUCCAUCACUAGCACCACGUCCAAUAGCAAAACAUCUCCAUCAGUUGCUCCAAGUAGUGUAUCUGACACUGCAACUGAGGGAUCAAAUGCAAGCACCAGAGCACCUGCAACUCUAUCUCCAACGGCUCACACCAUGGUCCAUGUGACGUCAUCUACUAACUCAGCAACAGAUGUUGCCUCCACCACAAUUGCCCCAGCAUCUGUGUUGACCUCAGUGGAAUCCACAUCCCAAGAGUCCACUGUUUCUAGGGCUGCAACCUCCAUGAACGCAGGGGCUACUUCCACCACUGCACCUGAUUUUACCACAGAGGUCUCAGAAGCUGAAGCGAACACAGAAGAAGAUGCCACUCUCUCAGCUACGGAGGAUUCCACCACUCAAGCUGCCUCUACAACUUCAGCAAACACACCUCCUGCUACUGUUGCCACCAUUGCUGCAGCCACAACCCCUACAUACGUUGCAGCCACAACUGUAAUACCUCCCACAACCCCAGGGAUUGGUGCCACUAACUCCAGUGCUACCUCAUUAUCAGCUGGUGCUACCACAGCUCUUGCUUCUGCUACUACGGGAAUACCCAGAACUUCUACCACUGCUUCUAGUUCUGUCACAACAACAGCUAUACCUGGUGCCACUACCACAAGUGCACUAAGUCCUACAACCACCGGUGUACCUGGUCCUGCCACCGGAGCUGCAUUGAGUCCUGCAUCGAGUCCUGCCAUCCCACCAGUGGCCGAGGCUACCACUGAAACAGCAGUUGACACAACCACUGAAGCUACUUCCCCAGUAAGCGAGGAAGUCACUGAAACAGCCGAUGACACAACAGUCAACACAGCUGCCACCACAAUUUCACCUAAUGGAUUAACGACUGGGGCAAUGGACUCGACAACCUUGGAAAGAGACAUCUCUCUCCCUGUUACUACAACUGCUGGAUCUUCAAACUCAACACCUGUGGGGACAACCACCACUACCACAGCAGCAGCUUCUUCAACCCUAGGGCUGGAUACGACCACCAGUGGUACAGUCACAUCCUCGGCCUCCAGUGAUACAACUGCUGCUACCAGCAUAACUGUAGUAGGCGCUACCACUCCAACCCCUGUGAUGGCAGCCUCCACUGUUGAACCAGUUGUGUUAACCAAUGCAGGUGAAACCACUACCCAGAGCUCUGAUGUUACAGCUCCAGGGGAAGAGGCCACCACUGAACCAAUAGAUGACACAACCACUGAAGCUGCCACAACUGCACCUGCUGAGGCCACAACUCUCACAGCUAACCCUGCAUCCUCAGCAGAUUUCACAUCUCCAGCUGUGGGUAAAACUGGUUCAGCUACAACCAAAAUAUCUGGAGGAGCUACCAACACAACCACAGCAGCCUCCAUAACUCCAGGGGUUGAUGCCACCACAAGCAGCACCACCUCUCCUUCCAUCACUGGUACCACAUCUCCUUCUGGUGCCACCACAACUGUACCAAGUUCUGCCUCUACUACUGAAUCUGGUGCACUGACCAACAGUGAAACCACCACCCAGACCCCUGGUGCUCCAGGUGAUGAGACCACUAAAUCAGCAGAUGGUACAACCACGGCAGCUAUCACCACUCCAGCAGAAGGUACCACAACCCGUUCAACUGACUCCACAACCUUAAAAGCAGGCACUACAUCUGUUGCUACUACUGCAACAGCUGCGUUAUCUGCAACCACAAUUCCUACAGCAGCUAGCACUGCAACAGCUGCAGCCUCCACAGGGACUGAAACUACACCUUUAGCCCCAGAUGCCACCACUACUGCCAGUAUGAGUGUAGCAGCCACCACCACCCCUGCUGAACCUGCUUCUUCAACCACUGAAGCUGCAACUCCUACGGAGGAAAACACUACUGAACCUUUAGGGACAGCGGCCACUACAACUCCAUCAAGCUCCACCUCCGCCACUGCACCAGAAGAUUUAAGCACUACACUGGAUUCUACAAUGCUGGAACCUGAAACAACGGCCCCCACUGAUGAGGCCACAGCAGAUACUACUCUCCCUGAAGGAAGUACUGAUGCUGCCACAACUCUUGCAGGAUCCACUGCACCUGCAGAAGAGAACUCUACUGCUCUAGCCAUCACAAGAGUAGCAGCAACGCCCAUAUCUGAAGCUAAUACCAUUACCACUGCCCCAGUGACAACCAGUAGGCUCACAACUACAGUCACCACAAAUACAGCAUCAACUGAAACCACCUCAUAAGAAAAGCAAUGCCAUGGUGCAUCUCAAGCAUCUUGAUAACAG
RNAcentral lists this long non-coding RNA (4403 nucleotides) under Vulpes vulpes (red fox). Its description in RNAcentral is "lncRNA (ENSVVUG00000004335.1)". The record is from RNAcentral. Lineage: Eukaryota; Metazoa; Chordata; Mammalia; Carnivora; Canidae.